Molecule: long non-coding RNA, 380 nt
Filed under: Anas platyrhynchos platyrhynchos (common mallard)
Lineage: Eukaryota; Metazoa; Chordata; Aves; Anseriformes; Anatidae
Description: lncRNA (ENSAPLG00000025195.1)
Source: RNAcentral
UGAUCAUCUCUAAGCAUGUUAAGGUGGCUGCUUUCUGUGUGGAAUGUUGGCUCCUGAAAUUACAACAAAAUUUUCCUCAUGUUUCCUUCCUUCUCCUUUUCCUUAAGGAUCACGCUGUCUUUCACAGGAUGUAAAGCCUCCUGAAAUUGCUAUUCUGUCAGUGUUGCCUCUCUUAAUCCUAAAACAUUUCAUCAUGGAAGUACUGUGGAAGUACAUGGAACUCUGGCACAUCUACUAAAUCACAUAGAAAGACCCAGAAUCAGCAGUUACCCUCAAGUAAGUGAUACAAUCUCAUAGCUAAAUUAGUUAUUUUCUUCCUUACCUGCCCUGUAUAUCAUACUAAAAAUAAAGUUUGAAGUCUGAAGCUUCUAGGAAAGGAC